RNAcentral lists this ribosomal RNA (433 nucleotides) under uncultured bacterium. RNAcentral's name for it is "partial 16S ribosomal RNA". It matches the Rfam family "Bacterial small subunit ribosomal RNA", at positions 29 to 507 of the family's 1533-position model. The record is from RNAcentral.
AACGAACGCUGGCGGCAUGCCUAACACAUGCCAGUCGAACGAGACCUUCGGGUCUAGUGGCGCACGGGUGCGUAACGCGUGGGAACCUGCCCUUAGGUUCGGAAUAACUCCCCGAAAGGGGUGCUAAUACCGGAUAAUGUCUUCGGACCAAAGAUUUAUCGCCUUUGGAUGGGCCCGCGUUGGAUUAGCUAGUUGGUAGGGUAAAAGCCUACCAAGGCGACGAUCCAUAGCUGGUCUGAGAGGAUGAUCAGCCACACUGGGACUGAGACACGGCCCAGACUCGUACGGGAGGCAGCAGUGGGGAAUAUUGGACAAUGGGCGAAAGCCUGAUCCAGCAAUGCCGCGUGAGUGAUGAAGGCCUUAGGGUUGUAAAGCUCUUUUACCCGGGAUGAUAAUGACAGUACCGGGAGAAUAAGCUCCGGCUAACUCCGUG